Molecule: ribosomal RNA, 259 nt
Filed under: uncultured bacterium
Lineage: Bacteria
Description: partial 16S ribosomal RNA
Rfam family: Bacterial small subunit ribosomal RNA
Source: RNAcentral
UACAGAGGGUGCAAGCGUUUGUUCGGAAUUAUUGGGCUGGUAAAGACGCGUGUAGGCGGCUUGUUAGUUGUCGGGUGUGGAAAGCCCUCAGCUCAACUGAGGAAGUGCGCCCGAAACUGGCAGCUUGAGUGCCGGAGAGGAUAGCGGAACACCCGGUGUAGAGGUGAAAUUCGUAGAUAUCGGGUAGAACACCAGUGGCGAAGGCGGCUAUCUGGACGGACACUGACGCUGAGACGCGAAAGCGUGGGGAGCAAACAGG